RNAcentral lists this ribosomal RNA (497 nucleotides) under uncultured bacterium. RNAcentral describes it as "partial 16S ribosomal RNA". It matches the Rfam family "Bacterial small subunit ribosomal RNA", at positions 28 to 507 of the family's 1533-position model. The record is from RNAcentral.
GAUGAACGCUGGCGGCGUGCCUAAUACAUGCAAGUCGAGCGAACAGACGAGGAGCUUGCUCCUCUGACGUUAGCGGCGGACGGGUGAGUAACACGUGGAUAACCUACCUAUAAGACUGGGAUAACUUCGGGAAACCGGAGCUAAUACCGGAUAAUAUAUUGAACCGCAUGGUUCAAUAGUGAAAGACGGUUUUGCUGUCACUUAUAGUUGGAUCCGCGCCGCAUUAGAUAGUUGGUAAGGUAACGGCUUACCAAGGCAACGAUGCGUAGCCGACCUGAGAGGGUGAUCGGCCACACUGGAACUGAGACACGGUCCAGACUCCUACGGGAGGCAGCAGUAGGGAAUCUUCCGCAAUGGGCGAAAGCCUGACGGAGCAACGCCGCGUGAGUGAUGAAGGUCUUCGGAUCGUAAAACUCUGUUAUUAGGGAAGAACAAAUGUGUAAGUAACUAUGCACGUCUUGACGGUACCUAAUCAGAAAGCCACGGCUAACUACGUG